Xiphophorus couchianus (Monterrey platyfish) is the source of this 559-nucleotide long non-coding RNA. RefSeq lists it as uncharacterized. The record is from RefSeq and is a predicted model, not a curated record. NCBI's taxonomy places the organism in Eukaryota, Metazoa, Chordata, Actinopteri, Cyprinodontiformes, Poeciliidae. The transcript is spliced from 4 exons.
UUUAAAUAAAGACUAGCCGAAUGUGUUAACGCUUAAGAUCCAGCUUGAUCCGAUAUUUAGCUUUUAGAAUAAAUGACUAGAAGUUGUCAUCCGUCCUCCACCACCGUCCUAAACAGCUGGUUCUGAAUGCAGUCCAGCUUCCUCUUGCGGCAGCGCUGAGCAGCGAUCCGGUUUUUGCUGCGCCUCCGGAUGUCAUGGAUGAACUCCAGCUGUUCUGAGGUCAGUUUGUGCAUCUUGAUGAGGACCUGGAAGUCGUUGCGAGGCAGGUUGGAGAUCUGAUCCACAGGGAACGGCAGCUUCACCUGAAAGAACCGAGGAGUUCAAUCUGAUCAGUGUAAGCCAAAUUCUCCGUCGCAGUAAGAACCAGGGCGCAGAAACUCUGACCUUAAACAAGAUCAAGAAUAGGAGAAAAUCCGCCGCAUGAAGGCAGGCUGAUGAUGGGUUCAGCGCUGCCUGGCGACUCGCUGUGUCCCAGCAGGACCUGUAGAAAGUAGCUGCUGCUGGCAGCCAGGACGGCCCGGUGGGCCCGGACCUCCCUGCCCUCCACCAGCACCGUGAC